UGGCCACGUAUUGCUUAGUAACAGAGGCUUGAUCAAGACCAGACUGAACGCUAAGUGGGAUGCUUUGGCUACUGAUGAAGCUCGAAUGGCAGCACGGACUUGGGUCUGCGGCGAGUGGCGGUGAACGGGGCAGUGAGCAAUGUAUCGGAACGUGCCCAGUAGCGGGGAUAACUACGCGAGCGUAGCCAAUACCGCAUACGUUCCUUCGGGGAAAGCGGGGACUCGGCCCGCACUAUUAGGAGCGGCCGAUAUCGAUUACAGGGUAUCGGCUACCAAGGUGACGAUCCGUAGCUGGUUUGAGACGACCAGCCACAUUCGACUGGAGAUUACGGCCCAGACUACGGGAGGCAGCAGGGGGAAUUUGACAAUGGGGAAACGCCGAUCCAGCCACUCGCGUGGGCAGAUAGCGCCUCGGGUUGUAAAGCACUUUGGCAGGAAAGAAACGGCACGGGAUAAUACUCCUGUGCAACUGAUUUAGUACCUGCAGAAUAAGCACCGGCUAACUACGUGCCAGCAGCCGCGUAAUACGGUGGGUAAAGCGUUAACGGGAAUUACUGGGCGGAAGUGCGGGCAGGCGGUUCGGGAAGAAAAGAUGUGAAAUCCCAGAGCUUAACUUUGAAUCGCAUGGAACGCCGAGCUGGUGAGUAGGUUGUGAGGGAGGUGGAGACCGCAUAGCAGCGGAAAAUGCGCAGAUAGCGUGGAGGAACACCGAUGGCGAACAGCCUCCAGGAUAACACUGACGCUUCGCGGGACGAAAGCGCGGGUGAUAAACAGGAUUAGAUACCCUGAAUUAGCCGCCCUUAUAAACGAUGUCAACUCAGCUGUUGGGGCUUCGGGCCUGGCAGCGCAGCCAACGCGCAGUUGACCGCCUCAGAGUACGGUCGCAAGACUAAACUCAGCGAAUUGACGGGGACCGUACGCUGUGGAUGAUGGAUAAUUCGAUGCAACGCGUGAAAAACCUUUUACUUCACUUCGGGACAUGUCUGGAAUCCCGAAGAGAUUUGGGAGUGCUGCAAGAGAACUGAACACAGGUGCUGCAUGCGGUUGUCGUCAGCUCGUGUCGAGAUGUUGGGUUAAGUCUCCGCAACGAGCGCAACCCUUACAUUAUUGCUACGAAAGGCACUCUAAUGAGAUUCGCCGCGACAAAACCGAGGAAGGUGGGGAUGACGUCAAGUCCUUGCUGGCUCCCGGCGGGUAGGUCACACGUCAUAAUGUGGUCGGGGACAGAGGGGUCGUUAACCCGCGAGGGGGAGCUAAUCCCAGAAACCUGAUCGUAGUCCGGGAUCGCAGUCUGCAACUCGACUGCAUGAAGUUUGAAUCGCUAGUAAUCGCGGAUCAGCAUGUCGCGGUGAAUACGUUCCCGGCCUUGUACACACCGUUUUCGUCACACCAUGGGAGUGGGUUUUACCAGAAGUAGUUAGCCUAACCGUAAGGAGGGCGAUUACCACGGUAGGAUCUAUGACUGGGGUGAAGUCGUAACAAGGCAG
Molecule: ribosomal RNA, 1487 nt
Filed under: uncultured Bordetella sp.
Lineage: Bacteria; Pseudomonadati; Pseudomonadota; Betaproteobacteria; Burkholderiales; Alcaligenaceae
Description: partial 16S-23S ribosomal RNA intergenic spacer
Rfam family: Bacterial small subunit ribosomal RNA
Source: RNAcentral